AUUUAAAUAAGAAGACAGGAGCAGUUGAAGUUAGAUAAAUGAAUCAGUGCUAUAUACAGUACAGAAAAGUUUAUCCUCACAGGGAAGGAUACUAGCCGUAGAUGUAAUAAAAAUGCAGGGAAAGGGCAAGAAUGCAUUUGGCAGGACAACCAUUAAUAAUUUUGACUCAGGAUAUGUGAUAUGUAAAGGUGCAGGAUGGGUUCUGAUCCGCCACAAUAGCUUAUUCAGAUUGAUGAGGUCUUUAGGAAGAUCUGACGCAGGAAGGUUUUGAUGAGGAAGCAAAAUAGCACUCAAAUGCCUCAUGAUUCACCAUUUACUGUAAAGAGUAUAUGAACAUCUAAUAUUUUGACUUGUUUUUGGGAAUGGGUGGAUCUCUUUUGUAAACUAACUACUUGGUUUUUGAGAAUCUAUAUAAAAUUUU
Long non-coding RNA from Papaver somniferum (opium poppy), 421 nucleotides. RefSeq lists it as uncharacterized. The transcript has 3 exons. Lineage: Eukaryota; Viridiplantae; Streptophyta; Magnoliopsida; Ranunculales; Papaveraceae. The record is from RefSeq and is a predicted model, not a curated record.